GGGGAUUUCUUCCUUCCCCACCCAAGCAACAUAAAAAUGGCCACUCACAGAAGGAACACACACACACAGGCCCAGGCUUAACCAGGCAAGUCUGAGAGGGGAGUUUCUGGACCUCCAGUUUCUGGUUUUCGUCUUCCAGUUUUCUUUUCUGGGAACGAGUCACAGACUAGUGUGCUGAGCCAGGAUGUUUCCAGCCUUGGGGGAAUUACUUCAUGAGUGAUCGAUCUACAUUUGAGAUACCCUGCAUGUGAGAAUCUCUGACAUAGGACUGCCCUAGGGAGAUUUCCUUAAGUGAUAAUUGAAGGAGGACUGGCCUGCAGCUGCAGCGGUAAAAGCCAUGCCAAGAGGGGCCAAGAGAUCCAUGGACUUCACCAUUCUCUCCAGAUAUUGUUAUGAAGACACUGAAGCCUUGGAAGGGACUUGCUGAAGGUCACACAGAACCUGUCACAGAGAUGCCCAUGAAAACUCAAGCAGCGGAACCAGAACAGAAUAAAGGCUAUGAUUCUCCAUGGAUUCCCCUCAGGCCAGUGCUUCUAUUUCUUUGGGCCUGCCCCGCCCCCCAAUUUCUUUAGUCAGUGAUUGGAGUUAGACCCUAAUCCCAGAGUCAGGUACAGACUUUAAGGUUCAUAUUGAAGUUCUCAGGAUUUCCAUCCCUGGGGCUCAGAGGAUCCAAAGUCCCCGUGGUUUCUGAAUGGAUGUUCCUAGGCCUGGAAAGAAUAGUAAACUUGGUCCAAAGACUGUUUUUUUCAAGAUUUUCUCAGUCCAGAUUGGGGUUCCUCCAAAACAGGUGAGGUUAUGCAAUUUCUGUGAAAUAGAACUGAGCUUUCUGAGGCAUGGCUUGUCUUCACAUGGCAGAGAUUAGUUGGCUCCCAGUACCAUCCCCACCCUCCCCUCUCCUCACCCUUCUCCCAUUCACAUUUACAAGUUGAGACCUGGGGGGGGAGGGGUGUGACUAUGUCAGGUUCAAGGUACACGUGCAGCCCUCCGCAUUCUUAAUCUAUAACUCAAGAGGCCCCACCAAUGUUUUCACCUUUAACAACCAGAGGAUACAAUCAGCUUGAAUAAAGGCAUUUGCUGAAAUGGAACAGCCAGACCAGUAGCUACAGAACAUUCCUCCCAUAAACUUGGGCUACACUCUUCCAAAAAUACACACCACCUCAGGGUGAAGAGUGGGGACAAAACAGGAGUCUACUAGUGGGGAAGCAUAUGGCCAAGACA
This is a long non-coding RNA of Phascolarctos cinereus (koala), 1218 nucleotides long. RefSeq lists it as uncharacterized. The record is from RefSeq and is a predicted model, not a curated record. NCBI's taxonomy places the organism in Eukaryota, Metazoa, Chordata, Mammalia, Diprotodontia, Phascolarctidae.